Pararge aegeria (speckled wood butterfly) is the source of this 209-nucleotide long non-coding RNA. RefSeq lists it as uncharacterized. NCBI's taxonomy places the organism in Eukaryota, Metazoa, Arthropoda, Insecta, Lepidoptera, Nymphalidae. The transcript is spliced from 3 exons. The record is from RefSeq and is a predicted model, not a curated record.
AUAAGUUGCAGUGUAACAUGCCAACUACCGAUACCCGAGGUGAGCAACUCGUCGCUGAUCUCCAGCCUGUUCCUCAACCACGUGGAGCACACGCUGGACCGCCUCACCGCGCUCAGUGAAGUCGCCAAUCUACUUACAGGCGGAAUGGCGGGUCUCGGCUAGAUGAUGAUUGAAGACUGUAUUUUGUUAUUAUUUCAGAUUGAUAUUCC